This 2168-nucleotide long non-coding RNA is filed under the name Homo sapiens (human). RNAcentral's name for it is "HSALNT0387069". The record is from RNAcentral. Lineage: Eukaryota; Metazoa; Chordata; Mammalia; Primates; Hominidae.
GCCGUGCCCGGCGCUCAAACUUGGCCCCAACUCUUUGUCCGUCUCUCGGGCGCCCGUGCGGGGAAGGGACCGGGAAGGGAGGGAUGCAGUGGGGUGUCCGGAUCGGGGCUGCGGGCUGGGCGCCGCCCGGCCAUGCGCCUGCCCAGAAGGCUGGGCAUCCGUGGAGAGGGAAAGCCCAUUUUAUCCCUCUCUUUACAACGAGGUAAAAUAAGUUGUUUAGAGGCCAUUCUUCACGGAGACCGGCUGCCCGCUGGCGUCGCGUGCCCUUGGACAGAGCGAGCGCCUAUGCGAGAUAACUCCGGGGAAGCUCAAAGUCAGGUCAGCCGGGCUCAGCCUUCCGGCUCCUGACUGGCCGGAGUUUGGCCUUUGAGACUCAUAUUGCGCGCUCGCUCUCUCUCUCUCUUACACACACACACACAAACACACACACACUCACACUCACCCGUCCCCUUACGAAAUCUGACCUCUGUUUAUCAGGGUCAGGCGCGCCCUUUGCACUUUUACGUUUCCUUUAAUUAUUUCGGACUUGAUCGUGGCAGGGAGCAAGGGGGAAAAACAAUACCCCAGCCCUCACCAGCUACCCUCGAAGGGUUAAAUUUUAAACCGCGGUUUCUGGAACUAGUCCGGAAACGCAGAGUGGGGGGUGGGGUGGGGGAGGCUGCUCCCCCCACCCCCAGUUGCAAAUGCUAAUAAGUAGUUCAAAUUUCUAGAUUGAUUCUCUAAAAGUUUAUGCAAAAAAGAAAUAAAAAAGAAAAAGAAAAAAGAAGGAAACCAACAACUAACUCUGUUUCUAAGAUUUUAAAGCGAUAGGCAAGUCGAAGAAGCAGAGAUUUAUUUGGAGAGAAAGCUCCUGAAACCGACCCAGCCUUUGGAAGACCAGCCCGUCUGCUUAGAAGUUGGGACUGUUGAUUCCUUCAAUUAAUGAAAUGCAUUUGGUGUUUUUAAUCGUAUUUAUUUUACUUUAUGAGAAGGGGGAGACGCUAGGAGGGUGCAUUAAAAAAAAAAAAAAAUUCUGAAAAGCCUGCAAAAGGAUCGAAGAGUGGAAACUAUUGUUGGAGCGAGUUGGUUUUUACCUCAACAGCGCCACCUUUCGGCAAAGGUUUCUUCCUUGGAAAACAAUAUACAUCACUUAAUGAAAUCUUUGUUUGUUUUGCACAAGAGAUGUAAAAAAUCCAGAUGUUUUCUUCAGUGAGAAUUCCUGGGAAGGUGUACCAGCCUUCUUCUCUUUCUUCACCUGACAAAGACACCCAACACGGCCUCUCAGACCGGAGGUGUUUAAUAUAUAGUUUUGACACGCAUGAACAUGGGAAUGAAAGGGCUCCUUUUGGUUUUAGACAAUAGACAGAGCUAUAAAAUGAUGAUGGAGCCUGUUUUCCCCACUCUUGUCAUUUUAAGUCAAUAGAUUUCCUGGGUUUCUUCCCCCGCCCCCCCACUUUGCCUUUUCAGGGGAUAGGCAUCUCCUUAGAUUUUUGUUUUUCUUCACUUAGGGUCAGCUUUAUGAUUCGUUCUUCUGCUGUCAUCCUUUUUCAUCCUAUUCACAGCCUGUACCGGUGAGGGAAUUUGUCUCAAAAGCAUUCAGCCCUUCAAAGAUUUUUAUUGUGGUGAACUCAGAACUGAUAAACAGAAAAACAGAAACAGAAAAAGGGAACUGAUAUGGGGGCGAUCUUGAUGCGGGUUGUGUCUCUCAUGCAUGAUAACUCAGAGGACAGGCUCCUCGGUAGUGCGGUAGUGCUAACUCUGUGAAGUUUCUUCACCCUCCUUCCUAGCCCUGGAGGCGGGGUGAUUCAUAGCUCCUGUUCCAAAGGCAUUCAGCAGCCAUUCGACCUGGGAAAGAAACAGAGUUUUAGAAAAUACAGGCCAAAUGUAGAGACGCCUGUGAUUACCAGGAUGAGUAUGUCAGUGCAGGUGGCUUCUGAAUUUCUGUUUCUGAGUUUGUUUGGCUGAUGCCUAAGGAAAGGGGUCCCUUACAGCCCUGUUUUAUACCUUAGUUCUUGGUGGCAACGUGGGUGUUGCUGAUCUCUCUGAUGUGUUUUUCUGUGCACUGAAAACACCAGACAUGCUCCGUGACAUCCUCGGAGCAUCUCCCAUCAUAAUGGAGUGUUCCUAACCUGACAAAGAAUAGCAUAUUACCUCCCCAUCUACUCAAAAUAAAAUUAUAGUAAAAUUUA